ACCAGGUCUCCUAUAGCAGCAACAAGCUUACGGAUGUUUGCUGUAUCCCAUGCCUCUAAUGGAAUGCCCCAACAUAGGACCCAGACUAGUCUAUGGCCCGUUCUAAUGCUGCUGCUCCAUUUGUCCAGCGAGUAAAACAGCGUCAUCCCAUGCAUAUUCUCUUCAUUCGCCAAUUGUUCCGCCUUGCUAUCAGAGAGACCAAGGAGCAGAAUCAUGUCGUCGCCGAGGUACUUGGGCACGACAUCAUCACCUAUCUCC
This 258-nucleotide unclassified non-coding RNA is filed under the name uncultured bacterium. RNAcentral's name for it is "contains 16S-23S intergenic spacer region". The record is from RNAcentral.